AUUGAACGCUGGCGGCAGGCCUAACACAUGCAAGUCGAGCGGAUGAAGGGAGCUUGCUCCUGGAUUCAGCGGCGGACGGGUGAGUAAUGCCUAGGAAUCUGCCUGGUAGUGGGGGAUAACGUCCGGAAACGGGCGCUAAUACCGCAUACGUCCUGAGGGAGAAAGUGGGGGAUCUUCGGACCUCACGCUAUCAGAUGAGCCUAGGUCGGAUUAGCUAGUUGGUGGGGUAAAGGCCUACCAAGGCGACGAUCCGUAACUGGUCUGAGAGGAUGAUCAGUCACACGGGAACUGAGACACGGCCCAGCCUCCUACGGGAGGCAGCAGUGGGGAAUUUUGGCCAUUGGGCGAAAGCCUGCUCCAGCCAUGCCGCGUGUGUGAAGAAGGUUUUCGGAUUUUAAAGCACUUUAAGUUGGGAGGAAGGGCAGUAAGUUAAUACCUUGCUGUUUUGACGUUACCAACAGAAUAAGCACCGGCUAACUUCGUG
RNAcentral lists this ribosomal RNA (484 nucleotides) under uncultured bacterium. RNAcentral describes it as "partial 16S ribosomal RNA". It matches the Rfam family "Bacterial small subunit ribosomal RNA", at positions 30 to 507 of the family's 1533-position model. The record is from RNAcentral.